Molecule: transfer RNA, 66 nt
Filed under: Orthetrum chrysis
Lineage: Eukaryota; Metazoa; Arthropoda; Insecta; Odonata; Libellulidae
Description: tRNA-Pro
Source: RNAcentral
CAGAGAAUAGUUUAAUUAAAAUUUUAAUUUUGGAGAUUAAAGAUGGAUAUAAAUAUCUUUCUCUGA